RNAcentral lists this ribosomal RNA (2531 nucleotides) under Escherichia coli. Its description in RNAcentral is "partial 23S ribosomal RNA". It matches the Rfam family "Bacterial large subunit ribosomal RNA", at positions 165 to 2720 of the family's 2925-position model. Lineage: Bacteria; Pseudomonadati; Pseudomonadota; Gammaproteobacteria; Enterobacterales; Enterobacteriaceae. The record is from RNAcentral.
CAUAGGUUAAUGAGGCGAACCGGGGGAACUGAAACAUCUAAGUACCCCGAGGAAAAGAAAUCAACCGAGAUUCCCCCAGUAGCGGCGAGCGAACGGGGAGGAGCCCAGAGCCUGAAUCAGUGUGUGUGUUAGUGGAAGCGUCUGGAAAGGCGCGCGAUACAGGGUGACAGCCCCGUACACAAAAAUGCACAUAUUGUGAGCUCGAUGAGUAGGGCGGGACACGUGGUAUCCUGUCUGAAUAUGGGGGGACCAUCCUCCAAGGCUAAAUACUCCUGACUGACCGAUAGUGAACCAGUACCGUGAGGGAAAGGCGAAAAGAACCCCGGCGAGGGGAGUGAAAAAGAACCUGAAACCGUGUACGUACAAGCAGUGGGAGCCUCUUAAUGGGGUGACUGCGUACCUUUUGUAUAAUGGGUCAGCGACUUAUAUUCUGUAGCAAGGUUAACCGAAUAGGGGAGCCGAAGGGAAACCGAGUCUUAACUGGGCGUUAAGUUGCAGGGUAUAGACCCGAAACCCGGUGAUCUAGCCAUGGGCAGGUUGAAGGUUGGGUAACACUAACUGGAGGACCGAACCGACUAAUGUUGAAAAAUUAGCGGAUGACUUGUGGCUGGGGGUGAAAGGCCAAUCAAACCGGGAGAUAGCUGGUUCUCCCCGAAAGCUAUUUAGGUAGCGCCUCGUGAAUUCAUCUCCGGGGGUAGAGCACUGUUUCGGCAAGGGGGUCAUCCCGACUUACCAACCCGAUGCAAACUGCGAAUACCGGAGAAUGUUAUCACGGGAGACACACGGCGGGUGCUAACGUCCGUCGUGAAGAGGGAAACAACCCAGACCGCCAGCUAAGGUCCCAAAGUCAUGGUUAAGUGGGAAACGAUGUGGGAAGGCCCAGACAGCCAGGAUGUUGGCUUAGAAGCAGCCAUCAUUUAAAGAAAGCGUAAUAGCUCACUGGUCGAGUCGGCCUGCGCGGAAGAUGUAACGGGGCUAAACCAUGCACCGAAGCUGCGGCAGCGACACUAUGUGUUGUUGGGUAGGGGAGCGUUCUGUAAGCCUGUGAAGGUGGCCUGUGAGGGUUGCUGGAGGUAUCAGAAGUGCGAAUGCUGACAUAAGUAACGAUAAAGCGGGUGAAAAGCCCGCUCGCCGGAAGACCAAGGGUUCCUGUCCAACGUUAAUCGGGGCAGGGUGAGUCGACCCCUAAGGCGAGGCCGAAAGGCGUAGUCGAUGGGAAACAGGUUAAUAUUCCUGUACUUGGUGUUACUGCGAAGGGGGGACGGAGAAGGCUAUGUUGGCCGGGCGACGGUUGUCCCGGUUUAAGCGUGUAGGCUGGUUUUCCAGGCAAAUCCGGAAAAUCAAGGCUGAGGCGUGAUGACGAGGCACUACGGUGCUGAAGCGACAAAUGCCCUGCUUCCAGGAAAAGCCUCUAAGCAUCAGGUAACAUCAAAUCGUACCCCAAACCGACACAGGUGGUCAGGUAGAGAAUACCAAGGCGCUUGAGAGAACUCGGGUGAAGGAACUAGGCAAAAUGGUGCCGUAACUUCGGGAGAAGGCACGCUGAUAUGUAGGUGAAGCGACUUGCUCGUGGAGCUGAAAUCAGUCGAAGAUACCAGCUGGCUGCAACUGUUUAUUAAAAACACAGCACUGUGCAAACACGAAAGUGGACGUAUACGGUGUGACGCCUGCCCGGUGCCGGAAGGUUAAUUGAUGGGGUUAGCGGUAACGCGAAGCUCUUGAUCGAAGCCCCGGUAAACGGCGGCCGUAACUAUAACGGUCCUAAGGUAGCGAAAUUCCUUGUCGGGUAAGUUCCGACCUGCACGAAUGGCGUAAUGAUGGCCAGGCUGUCUCCACCCGAGACUCAGUGAAAUUGAACUCGCUGUGAAGAUGCAGUGUACCCGCGGCAAGACGGAAAGACCCCGUGAACCUUUACUAUAGCUUGACACUGAACAUUGAGCCUUGAUGUGUAGGAUAGGUGGGAGGCUUUGAAGUGUGGACGCCAGUCUGCAUGGAGCCGACCUUGAAAUACCACCCUUUAAUGUUUGAUGUUCUAACGUGGGCCCCUUACCGGGGUUGCGGACAGUGUCUGGUGGGUAGUUUGACUGGGGCGGUCUCCUCCUAAAGAGUAACGGAGGAGCACGAAGGUUGGCUAAUCCUGGUCGGACAUCAGGAGGUUAGUGCAAUGGCAUAAGCCAGCUUGACUGCGAGCGUGACGGCGCGAGCAGGUGCGAAAGCAGGUCAUAGUGAUCCGGUGGUUCUGAAUGGAAGGGCCAUCGCUCAACGGAUAAAAGGUACUCCGGGGAUAACAGGCUGAUACCGCCCAAGAGUUCAUAUCGACGGCGGUGUUUGGCACCUCGAUGUCGGCUCAUCACAUCCUGGGGCUGAAGUAGGUCCCAAGGGUAUGGCUGUUCGCCAUUUAAAGUGGUACGCGAGCUGGGUUUAGAACGUCGUGAGACAGUUCGGUCCCUAUCUGCCGUGGGCGCUGGAGAACUGAGGGGGGCUGCUCCUAGUACGAGAGGACCGGAGUGGACGCAUCACUGGUGUUCGGG